UUUUUUUCGGUUUCCCUUUCUCCACCAAGGUGGAGAUUGUUGGGCCUUAAGGGCCCAUUGGUGGAAAAAGAGAACCUUCCACAUGGGAAGGAGGUUUUGGUUUUAAUACCAAAACGCUACGUUUUGGAAGAUUAGGGUUUUUACCCAAAGCUAGUGACUUCGUCACUUUCAGCAGAGAAGAAAAAGAGGCAAAAAUGAGAGGGAGAGAGGAGAUCGCGGUGAGCACAUGGCGGAGGACGUUUCGGCGGUCCGUCAAGGAAGCUCGGUGGUAGAUCGGUAAGAUCCCGGUACAGGUUUGCAUCCCUUGGCUGUUUCCCCUUCUCUUUUGUUCUCGGUUCUUCUCGGUGAGGCUCCGGAUUGUGGAGAUCCGCCGAGCUUCUGUUCUCCGGUGUUGUUCUUCCGUCUCUAGUGGAUUCGCCGGCACCGUCCGGCCGAGAUGUAGGCCCGAGCUUGCUCGGUAACCGAACUCGUUAAAA
Molecule: long non-coding RNA, 476 nt
Organism: Tarenaya hassleriana
Lineage: Eukaryota; Viridiplantae; Streptophyta; Magnoliopsida; Brassicales; Cleomaceae
Exons: 2
Source: RefSeq, a predicted model, not a curated record